This 30-nucleotide non-coding RNA is filed under the name Homo sapiens (human). The record is from RNAcentral. Lineage: Eukaryota; Metazoa; Chordata; Mammalia; Primates; Hominidae.
CAUGUUCAAGCAAGAAGCCGGUUGUGUGGA